Alosa sapidissima (American shad) is the source of this 114-nucleotide small nuclear RNA. RefSeq annotates it as U5 spliceosomal RNA. The record is from RefSeq and is a predicted model, not a curated record. The transcript has a single exon. NCBI's taxonomy places the organism in Eukaryota, Metazoa, Chordata, Actinopteri, Clupeiformes, Clupeidae.
ACACUCUGGGUUCUCUUCAGAUCGUAUAAAUCUUUCGCCUUUUACUAAAGAUUUCCGUGGAGAGGACCCAGAGUAUUCAGGUAUUCUAGCCCAAAUCAUGCCCAAAUCAUGAUG